AACGAGAAAGCGGGAGCAAUCUCGCGAGUACAGUGGCGUACGGGUGAGUAACACGUGGGUAAUCUACCUCCGAGUGGGGAAUAACCCUGGGAAACCGGGGCUAAUACCGCAUAAGCCCGAGAGGGGAAAGCAGCAAUGCGCUGGGAGAGGAGCCCGCGGCCGAUUAGCUAGUUGGUGGGGUAAAAGCCCACCAAGGCAAAGAUCGGUAGCCGGCCUGAGAGGGCACACGGCCACACUGGCACUGAAACACGGGCCAGACUCCUACGGGAGGCAGCAGUGGGGAAUCUUGCACAAUGGGGGAAACCCUGAUGCAGCGACGCCGCGUGAGCGAUGAAGCCCUUCGGGGUGUAAAGCUCUUUCGGCAGGGACGAUUAUGACGGUACCUGCAGAAGCAGCUGCGGCUAACUACGUGCCAGCAGCCGCGGUAAUACGUAGGCAGCGAGCGUUGUUCGGAGUUACUGGGCGUAAAGGGUGUGUAGGCGGUCCCUUAAGCUUGGUGUGAAAUCUCCCGGCUCAACUGGGAGGGUGCGCCGGAUACUGAGGGGCUAGAGUGCGGGAAGGGAAAGUGGAAUUCCUGGUGUAGCGGUGAAAUGCGUAGAUAUCAGGAGGAACACCGGUGGUGCAAACGGCUUUCUGGACCGUAACUGACGCUGAGACACGAAAGCGUGGGGAGCAAACAGGAUUAGAUACCCUGGUAGUCCACGCCCUAAACGAUGCACGUUUGGUGUAGGUCAUUCAGUUGAUCUGUGCCGGAGCUAACGCGUUAAACGUGCCGCCUGGGGAGUACAGUCGCAAGGCUGAAACUCAAAGGAAUUGACGGGGGCCCGCACAAGCGGUGGAGC
RNAcentral lists this ribosomal RNA (842 nucleotides) under uncultured Bacillota bacterium. Its description in RNAcentral is "bacterial SSU rRNA". It matches the Rfam family "Bacterial small subunit ribosomal RNA", at positions 65 to 938 of the family's 1533-position model. The record is from RNAcentral. Lineage: Bacteria; Bacillati; Bacillota.